This is a long non-coding RNA of Gasterosteus aculeatus aculeatus (three-spined stickleback), 2832 nucleotides long. The record is from Ensembl. NCBI's taxonomy places the organism in Eukaryota, Metazoa, Chordata, Actinopteri, Perciformes, Gasterosteidae.
CAGUGAGCGAGUACUUUUAACACUGAGCUCAGACUACCGGAAAUUCCUGCAGACUUCCUGAGGACAUGUCCAUUGUGCCGUUGGACAAAAACAAGCAACCAAAUUGAUCCUUUUUUUCUGAGCCAAGGACUCAUCAGACUCCGGUUCCUAGGAGACUGGGCGGAGGAGGAGUAGGAGGAAACAUCUUUGGAUUACAGACCUAAAGCAGUGAAGGUCACCAAAUGCUGGUAGAGCGAGGGAAUCGGCAGGAUUCGAGCAUCAAAGUGGGCAGUGCAGCUUGAGACCUCAGUAGAAUGGAGUCGUAAAAGCAGAAUGCAGCAGCCCGUCUCCUGACCGGGACAAAGAAGCAUGGCCACAUAACGCCAGUGCUUUCUUCUCCACUGGCUUCCAGUCGACGGGUGAAUAGAAGGUGGUGAAGAAUCUGCAGCAGAGGGAAGCAGCUGACGCAGCACAACAGGCCGCAUACAGGAAAGGACAGAGGAGACUCUGCUUCCCCGGGAAGCCCCGCACCGUCCCUGCGCUCAACAAAGUGACAUUUAGGCAGCUUUGUUGUUGCAAGCAGUGUUACGGUGACACGCGUGGUUCAGUGAUGAAAACGAAGCGUCUCCUCUGCAGCUCAAAGCCCAGCGGGAGUGUAGACGGCGUGAGACAAGCAGAGGGGCGGUGGGGCUGCAGGUUUCCAGGAAUUUAGAAGCCGCCCCACACACACGCACACGCACACGCACACACACACACACACACACACACACACACACACACACACACACGCACACGCACACGCACGCACACAAACCAGUAUAACCAUCCUGGCAACUCCACCUUAGUGACCCGCUGACACUAAUCACCCAGGGGCCCGAGGGGCCUCCUGGAAUCCUUCACACAGCUCCAACAUUUCAGAAAUAACGCAGCGCGGUGCGACAUCGGCAGCGCCGAAUCACCUGGUCUACUUUUGGUUUUAAUGUUAUUACAGAGGGUGUAAAAAUAUUCUUAUUUAUGCAUGUUAUUUAUUUGAAUUUAAAUAUAUAUACUUAUUGCAUAUGAGCGUAUGUAGGGACCUUUCUUUAAACUUGGCUCUGUGUGAAUUCUUUAAGAGUUUUAUUCUUUAUUAUUCAUUUUUAUUUAACUCAAGCCAUUUGAUUAGUUCGGAUGGGAAAUGCUAACAACUCGUGGUCAUAAGCCACACAGGUUGGGAAGCUGCAAAUGCAAAAUGUAUUCUCUUAUGAAAUUUUACAAUUAUAUUUUUUGUAGAAUCUUAAUCUGCAAGUGAAAAAAUAACUAAAGCUGUUGAAUACAUUUUAAAAUACAAUACAAUACAAAAGAGUGAACCUGAUGAAAAUCAAUUUAUACUUGAAAAGUCUUUUUCCAUCAUGCUGGAGAUGACCACUACUACAAUGACCCUUAUUAAUGCUUAUUUGGUAUUUUCUGUGGAGUAAAAACCAAUAUGAAUAUUCUCUCAAAUAACAUAAUGUAUUCAUGUGGAAUGCAAGAUUAGAUAUGAAAUAAAGUGACAAACUAGUAAAUUGUUGAAAUUUAAACCAACGUGAAGAAUCAUGAUUUAAAAAAAGAAAAGAAGCUGUUUAUGAAAAGAUAUUUUAUUUUUCUUUGUGGAGUAAAAUAACACAUACAAAAUAAGAACCAUAACGGACUUAUUUUUUUAAUGUCAAAGCCUUAUUUAAUAUCGAUAUAUUGCACAAACAAACUGUGCAGAAACAUUUAUGCCAUCAGUGUGAACAGAACUGUCAUCGGUACAAAACAGAAGGGGAAAACGAACAGAUUCGAUAACAAACUGUGAACCAGCUGGCUGCUUUAAUCCACUUCCACGUCUGGCUCAGUGUGUUCGGAGGGAGGCGGCGGCGGCGGCGGCUCCCGGGGCGGCUCUGGGCGUGGCAGAAGGACGAAGAAGAUCAGUCUGCAAUCCUGAUGUAUUCAACAAAUGGAUGCAUAUUAUUUUUUAAUCACGCUAAAUAGAGGUGGCCUACGGCGUGCACAGAGGAUCACAGCAGCGGCCCCAGGCCGCGGUGGAGGCGGGUAGUGGAGGAACGCCGGGGGCCCGCGGGGGCCGUAGCUGUAAAGCCCAGCGGGCACGGGGUGAAACCCCGGCACGUUGAGCAGGAUGUUUGGACGCGGCACGUAGUCGCCGGGGUAACCGGACAUCCAGGGGACGUGGAGGACAGGCAGAGGGGCGGCCGGACCAAAUUCACCAAGGAAAGGGGCACCUGUGAGGAAAGGGUCUUUUGGGUCUUUCCUGCGGCAGGAUGGAGUCCAAGCCCCAAACAACUUGCAAUAUCAUAUUAUGCCUGUUAUAAUAAAGCAUUGUUCACAUUUCAACAAGUCUCUUCGGAUUGAAAUGUGUCCACUGCAUAUUUAGGUGCUGCAGUCGAAACCUUGAUUAAAAGAUCAACCAUAAUAACUCGUAUACUUGUAUGGCACUUAAAAAUAGUAUAUAAUAAAAGUAAUAACACUGAUUUUUGUCGUAAUUGUUUUCUGUGAUUGAUUUGUACAUGUUACUGCUAUAGAUGUUUCUUAUGUACUGAGUGAUAGUUUACAGAUAUGCAGCACAUUGUUUAAGAACCAAAGGUCACAGUACAGCUCGUGUUACAGACAGUGGAAGAGAAUGUUUGGCUUUUUUUGUUGAAAGUGAAAACUAUACACUGUAAAACCUGAUGAGUAAAGUCAACUCAAAUAGUUCUAGGAAACCGAUUGCCUUGAACCAUUUAAGUUAAAUAACUCAAAUCCUUUUAGUGAAAAUAGUUGCUUAAAUGGAGUAUUCCUAACUCAAGUAUUUCUUGUUAGGUAUACUUAAGUAAAUAAGUGACUAGUACUAAUUCCAUU